RNAcentral lists this ribosomal RNA (447 nucleotides) under uncultured bacterium. Its description in RNAcentral is "bacterial SSU rRNA". It matches the Rfam family "Bacterial small subunit ribosomal RNA", at positions 330 to 793 of the family's 1533-position model. The record is from RNAcentral.
UCCAGACUCCUACGGGAGGCAGCAGUGGGGGAUAUUGCACAAUGGGGGAAACCCUGAUGCAGCGACGCCGCGUGAGUGAAGAAGUAUUUCGGUAUGUAAAGCUCUCUCAGCAGGGAAGAAAAAAGACGGUACCUGACUAAGAAGCCCCGGCUAACUACGUGCCAGCAGCCGCGGUAAUACGUAGGGGGCAAGCGUUAUCCGGAUUUACUGGGUGUAAAGGGAGCGUAGACGGCAAUACAAGUCGGAAGUGAAAUACCCGGGCUCAACCUGGGAACUGCUUUGGAAACUGUAUGGCUGGAGUGCUGGAGAGGUAAGCGGAAUUCCUAGUGUAGCGGUGAAAUGCGUAGAUAUUAGGAGGAACACCAGUGGCGAAGGCGGCUUACUGGACAGUAACUGACGUUGAGGCUCGAAAGCGUGGGGAGCAAACAGGAUUAGAUACCCGGGUAC